CCAUUUUUGUCUACUUUGUCAGCCUUUGAAAAUCAAAAUUGUGCUCUCCGUCCGUCCGUCUUCGUCUAAUCUGUCCGCCAUUUUUGUCUACUCUGUCCGCCUUAAAAAAUCAAAUCGCCAAUUUCGUCUACUCUGUCCGCCAUUUUCGUCCAAUAUUCUUGAAAGAUUGGGCAGCAUUGGAUGCAUAUAAAGACAAGAAAACUGGAGAACUUUUGGGUCCACAACAUUCGUUUAAUGUGGAGUUUGCUCAAGACAACAUGCAACAAAUAAGUGAUAGCCUUGAUUGCGGACUAUUCGUAGUUGUAUAUGCAGAAUUCUGAGUGACAAAAUCAACAUGUCAUGUAAUAGUUUUAAGAGUAGCUAUCUUCGCAAAAGAUAUGCGAUUCUUUUAUUGAAGUAUGGUCUCGACAAGAUGAAUGCUGGAUAUGUUAGCAACAGUGAUGACCCUUCAAGAAUGAAGAAUGUAUUAAACCCAUCAUCUGAAGAUGAAAUUGUUAAUGUAGGCUAGUUAGUUUUCAAUGUUUGAUUUUUUUUUUAUUUUUUGGAUUUAAACAAGAUGUUUGAAGUAUUUAUUAACAUAACAACACAUAUUGUUAAAUUAUGAAAGUGUUUUGAUUUUUAAAAUUAUUUAUUCUAUUACUUUAAUUUUAUUUUUAUUACCGUUAUGAAUUCAGGAAUUAUGUAUACUGUUAUUGGGACAUGAAUGUCAUUAUUGUAUCAAAACUAUAAUAAUAAUUACAUUAAUGUAAUUAUUGUCAUAAAAAAACACUUAUUAUAUAUACGUAAAUAUAUUGCAUGAUACAAAAAAAGAAAAUUAUAUACGUAAUUAUAUUUUGUAUAUGAUACAUGAAAUAUCAAAAUAUAUAAUAUCACAAACAGUGAUACUAGUUAUUACACUAGAUACAUGCCAGUUUUUUUU
Molecule: non-coding RNA, 919 nt
Organism: Solanum lycopersicum (tomato)
Lineage: Eukaryota; Viridiplantae; Streptophyta; Magnoliopsida; Solanales; Solanaceae
Source: RefSeq, a predicted model, not a curated record